This 379-nucleotide ribosomal RNA is filed under the name uncultured cyanobacterium. RNAcentral's name for it is "bacterial SSU rRNA". It matches the Rfam family "Bacterial small subunit ribosomal RNA", at positions 376 to 770 of the family's 1533-position model. Lineage: Bacteria; Bacillati; Cyanobacteriota. The record is from RNAcentral.
CGAAAGCCUGACGGAGCAAGACCGCGUGAGGGAGGAAGGCUCUUGGGUUGUAAACCUCUUUUCUCAGGGAAGAAGCUCUGACGGUACCUGAGGAAUCAGCCUCGGCUAACUCCGUGCCAGCAGCCGCGGUAAUACGGAGGAGGCAAGCGUUAUCCGGAAUUAUUGGGCGUAAAGCGUCCGCAGGUGGCGUAUCAAGUCUGCUGUCAAAGACUAGAGCUUAACUCUGGAAAGGCAGUGGAAACUGGUAGGCUAGAGUACGGUAGGGGUAGAGGGAAUUCCCAGUGUAGCGGUGAAAUGCGUAGAUAUUGGGAAGAACACCAGUGGCGAAGGCGCUCUACUGGGCCGUAACUGACACUCAGGGACGAAAGCUAGGGUAGCG